GCAUCCCUAGUUCGGAUUGUAGGCUGCAACUCGCCUACAUGAAGCUGGAAUUGUUAGUAAUCACAGGUCAGCAUACUGUGGUGAAUACGUUCCCGGGCCUUGUACACACCGCCCGUCACACCAUGGGAGCCGGUAAUACCCGAAGUCAGUAGUCCAACCACGUGAGGACGCUGCCGAAGGUAGGAUUGGCGACUGGGGUGAAGUCGUAACAAGGUAAC
Molecule: ribosomal RNA, 218 nt
Filed under: uncultured bacterium
Lineage: Bacteria
Description: partial 16S ribosomal RNA
Rfam family: Bacterial small subunit ribosomal RNA
Source: RNAcentral